RNAcentral lists this ribosomal RNA (501 nucleotides) under uncultured bacterium. Its description in RNAcentral is "partial 16S ribosomal RNA". It matches the Rfam family "Bacterial small subunit ribosomal RNA", at positions 30 to 523 of the family's 1533-position model. The record is from RNAcentral.
AUUGAACGCUGGCGGCAGGCUUAACACAUGCAAGUCGAGCGGGGGAAGGUAGCUUGCUACCGGACCUAGCGGCGGACGGGUGAGUAAUGCUUAGGAAUCUGCCUAUUAGUGGGGGACAACAUCUCGAAAGGGAUGCUAAUACCGCAUACGUCCUACGGGAGAAAGCAGGGGAUCUUCGGACCUUGCGCUAAUAGAUGAGCCUAAGUCGGAUUAGCUAGUUGGUGGGGUAAAGGCCUACCAAGGCGACGAUCUGUAGCGGGUCUGAGAGGAUGGUCCGCCACACUGGGACUGGCGAACGGCCCGGACUCCGACGGGAGGCAGCAGUGGGGAAAGUUGGACAAUGGGGGAAACCCUGAUCCAGCCAUGCCGCGUGUGUGAAGAAGGCCUUAUGGUUGUAAAGCACUUUAAGCGAGGAGGAGGCUACUUUAGUUAAUACCUAGAGAUAGUGGACGUUACUCGCAGAAUAAGCACCGGCUAACUCUGUGCCAGCCGCCGCCGUAA